AACACUGUUAACCUGCGGUACCUGCGGAAGGAUCAUUACCGAGUCUUCGUACUCAAAACAACCCUUCUGUGGACCUGAAUAAAACCGUUGCCUCGGCAGGCGGCCCUACCUACGGGCCAGAUAGUUCGGCUGCCUCCAGGGAGGAAACCCUCCCCGAGGUGCUGGCGCCAGCCGCUGGCCCCAAACCAAAACUCUAGUAACUUUUACCUUCUGAGUUUUAAUGCAAGAAAUAAGUCAAAA
This 240-nucleotide unclassified non-coding RNA is filed under the name soil metagenome. RNAcentral describes it as "partial contains 5.8S ribosomal RNA, internal transcribed spacer 2, and large subunit ribosomal RNA". The record is from RNAcentral.